UUGAACGCUGGCGGCAUGCUUUACACAUGCAAGUCGAACGGUAACAGGCCUUCGGGUGCUGACGAGUGGCGAACGGGUGAGUAAUGCAUCGGAACGUGCCCAAUCGUGGGGGAUAACGUAGCGAAAGUUACGCUAAUACCGCAUACGCCCUGAGGGGGAAAGCAGGGGAUCUUCGGACCUUGUGCGAAUGGAGCGGCCGAUGUCAGAUUAGCUAGUUGGUGGGGUAAAGGCCCACCAAGGCGACGAUCUGUAGCGGGUCUGAGAGGAUGAUCCGCCACACUGGGACUGAGACACGGCCCAGACUCCUACGGGAGGCAGCAGUGGGGAAUUUUGGACAAUGGGGGCAACCCUGAUCCAGCCAUGCCGCGUGAGUGAAGAAGGCCUUCGGGUUGUAAAGCUCUUUCAGACGGAAAGAAAACGCAUCGGUGAAUACCCGGUGUGGAUGACGGUACCGUAAGAAGAAGCACCGGCUAACUACGU
RNAcentral lists this ribosomal RNA (480 nucleotides) under uncultured bacterium. Its description in RNAcentral is "bacterial SSU rRNA". It matches the Rfam family "Bacterial small subunit ribosomal RNA", at positions 30 to 506 of the family's 1533-position model. The record is from RNAcentral.